Long non-coding RNA from Scylla paramamosain (green mud crab), 2275 nucleotides. RefSeq lists it as uncharacterized. The transcript is spliced from 2 exons. Lineage: Eukaryota; Metazoa; Arthropoda; Malacostraca; Decapoda; Portunidae. The record is from RefSeq and is a predicted model, not a curated record.
UAAAAACAUAACAGCCUCUUAGCAACUUAUCCUCCCUCUUCAUUAACGAGUCACUACCAUAAUAACUGAGGCUAUUUGAAUGGUCUUGAUUAACCAUUCUAUUAGUUGCCAGCCAUUCUGUAACAAUCGCAUCACCACUCACUUGCGACUGAAACCUGAAGUUUGUUACGGCGUAGAUCUUCUCGGGCUAAAAUAUUCACGUGUUUAUCCACGAGAUUUUUCAAAAGCUCAAAUAUAGAGGUAGAAGUGUUGGUUGAUUGGAUGUAUGCGGUACUUUACGUGUGUGUGUGUGUGUGUGUGUGUGUGACUCAUGGCUGAAGGUUGUAGCUGCCUGAACCAGUUAUUAUAGGACUUCUCUCUCUCUCUCUCUCUCUCUCUCUCUCUCUCUCUCUCUCUCUCUCUCUCUCUCUCUCUCUCUCUUAUCAGUGGGGCGACAGCUGCGAUAAGUUUUAAAAUAAAUCCCUCACUCCAUGGAAACACUUACCAGAAAUGAACAGAGAAAAAAAUAUAUCCAUACUACAAUGUGUAGUAAACAGAUGGUAUAUUUGGUAAGGAAACCAAAGGAAAUAUUGCCAUAAAUAGUGCCACACAACCCUCAGUGGCCUGUGAUGUGAAACUGUCCCAUGUUUGUUCGUGUUGUGUUUUUAUUUAUUUAUUUAUUUAUUUAUUUAUUUAUUAUUAUUAUUAUUUUUUUUUACUUUUCUUUAUCCUUAAUUUACUUAUGUACCUACGCGAAGUUAUGAACUGAAAUACUUCAAAUAGCACAAUCAUGUAGUGUGGUGAUGGGAAAUGUUUAAAAUUGAGAGGAAGUGUUUAGAGUGCAGGCUUUCAAGGCACGUGCCAACUACCACACGUGUCAGACAGGGCCGCAGCCUUACCUCGAGCCACCACUUGUGCCCUGCUCAACCCGAAUGUCAUCUGAAGAGAGAAACUGAUUGGUAGCUGAAAGAUACAAAAAUUCAUAAUAAGUUUUUUUUUCUUUUUUUUUUUCUCUUUUUUUUUUUUUUUUUUUUACUGUUACUUAUGAGCAUGUGCAAUUUCUUUUACGAAAAUGCCUACAUGAUGAGUAACCUCGCAUAUAUCAGUUCAAGGAAAGAUAUACGAGUUUACCUUCGGUAUACUACAUGGAAUAGUUCCUUUGCUGUACGUACAGUGUCUUGUCAGGUGAGUAUGGGAGGCGGGGGAACAACACUACGGGGCCACGGCCACCACUGUUUGUUUUUGAUACUGACGUCAUGCAGUGAUACACACCAACCAUAACCCUGUUACCAAAGAACCGUCAGGCAGCGAAUCAGAAGAGGGAUUGCGUGGCGUCUGGGAGUGUUUAAACAACAUAUCGACCAAUGAGAAGAAGGUUGUGUGGCUCAGGCAGCCCUUAAAAGACACGUGCGCAUGUCCCGUGCGCCAUCACUCCUCUGGAAGCGAAGGUAAACAGGUAUUACGCCUGCUCUCAUUGUACGUAGUUCUAUAUUUGUGUGUCACAUCUCCAUCAUGUCGGACGCUUACUUCGAUAAGUACGACCACUACAACUUCGACGAGAAGCUGGUGCAUUCGCGGGGUAGUGGGAAGAACAGGACGAAGAUGGAGGCGGAGCAGAACAAGCACCAUGAAACGGACGGACACACCAGGAAGAUUGUCAAUAACAUGAAGAAUAACAUCACCAACAACAGGAUAGCUGAGAACACGAGCAUAAAACACUAAGUGUGGCUCUAUCCGUAAUAUGGUGAUAAUUGUCAAUCGAACCAAAGCGUAGAAUUCUGGACCUGGACGUGGACCGCCUUUGGGAUGAGUAUGGGACCACAGCUGCCGUCUUUGUGACUAAGCUCUGCUGGUAGGAGGCUGACGGUGUCCCGCACCUCACCACCUCAUCAUGACUUACAGGAAUUCAUGGAGGUUGUUAUGUUCCAGUUAAGUUUAGCGGAGUUACGUACAUGUACUGCCAAUCUGAAUACACCGCCCCCACUUCCCUUCGAGUCAGCCUCUCGCUAGGCAGCCCUAGCCGGGCAGCAGUCAUCCCUUGUCUUAUUUAAGUUACGUAGCUCUUGUGCUAUUGGCAGUUUUUUUUUUUUUUAGGGUACUUUUUAAUGGAAACGGUGUAUCAGAAGUAGAUUGCAAUGGUGUAAGCUGAGAGAGUAACACCUUGAGGCUCGCGAGGGAUUCUGUUGACCUGAUACGCUAUUGUUGAAGUGCGUGCUGGUGGCUGUGUUGUGUUGCCAGUAGCCAAUGAGCUUCUUUCCCUGUUGUGAUGAAUAAAGUGGUUUUGUAAAAUACUUAA